Molecule: non-coding RNA, 28 nt
Filed under: Mus musculus (house mouse)
Lineage: Eukaryota; Metazoa; Chordata; Mammalia; Rodentia; Muridae
Source: RNAcentral
UGCCACAAUAUGGUGACCUCAUGGAGAA